RNAcentral lists this ribosomal RNA (253 nucleotides) under uncultured bacterium. Its description in RNAcentral is "partial 16S ribosomal RNA". It matches the Rfam family "Bacterial small subunit ribosomal RNA", at positions 524 to 776 of the family's 1533-position model. The record is from RNAcentral.
UAUAGAGGGUGCGAGCGUUAAUCGGAAUUACUGGGCGUAAAGCGCACGUAGGCGGCUUGGUAUGUCGGGAGUGAAAUCCCCGGGCUCAACCUGGGAACUGCAUCCGAAACUGCCUUGCUAGAGUAUGGGAGAGGGAAGUGGAAUUUCCGGUGUAGCAGUGAAAUGCGUAGCUAUCGGAAGGAACACCAGUGGCGAAGGCGACUUCCUUGACCAAUGCUGAGGCUCAGGUGCCAAAGCGUGGAGAACAAACAGG